Oryza glaberrima (African rice) is the source of this 199-nucleotide non-coding RNA. The record is from Rfam. Lineage: Eukaryota; Viridiplantae; Streptophyta; Magnoliopsida; Poales; Poaceae.
AAAGACCCAAUUUCUAGGUUUCCGUGUGCAACGUUUGACCGUCUGUCUUAUAGAAAUUAUUUUAUGAUUAAUAUUUGCAUUAUUGUUAGAUGAUAAAACAUGAAUAAUACUUUAUGCAUGACUUAUCUUUUAAAUAUUUUCAUAAUUUUUUAAAUAAGACGGACGGUCAAAUGUUAGACACGAAAAUCUAGAAAUUAAG